RNA transcript from Vigna radiata var. radiata (mung bean), 1324 nucleotides. It is a transcript of the gene named vacuolar protein-sorting-associated protein 37 homolog 1, with no coding region annotated. The record is from RefSeq and is a predicted model, not a curated record. NCBI's taxonomy places the organism in Eukaryota, Viridiplantae, Streptophyta, Magnoliopsida, Fabales, Fabaceae. The transcript is spliced from 8 exons.
AAACUAAAUUCAAAGAAGGAACUAGUUUGUUCCCACAUUGCGAAGUUUCCUUCUCUCUGAAAUUUCGAGGGUUUCUGUUAAUUCUUCGUUUGGUGGAUCAGCAAUUCGGGAGCAGUUAGCCAUGUUCAGAUUCUGGGGAUCACAAGAGCAACAAUCACAGGAUGGUUCCUCGCAGUCACAGUCGUGGUAUCCACCAUCAGUGGUAAGUUCACCAAGUUCGUCUAGGCCUGCUACACCGUCGGGAUCUUCUUCUUCAUUACCGCAAAGGCCUUCUUCUCAUGUUCCACCCUCCGAAGCCGCUGGAAUCAUUGCUGUUUUGAAGGACAAGAGUGUUGAUGAGUUGCGGAAGCUUUUAUCUGACAAAGAUGCAUACCAGCAGUUUUUACAUUCGCUUGAUCAGGUCAAGAUUCAAACUAAUCUGAAAGAUGAACUUUGCAAGGAGAAUUUGCAGCUUGCAGAGGAAAAUCUUCAAAAGGAGCCUCGUAUCAUGGAACUUAGGAAUCAAUGUAGAAUAAUUCGGACAACUGAGUUAGCUGCCGCUAAAGAGAAACUAAAUGAGCUUGAGAAGCAGAAAGAAGAAAUGUUGAAACUGAAUUCACCAUCGUCUCUUGUCCAGAGGAUUCAAGAGUCUGCGAAUAAGACUGAAGAGGAAUCUGACAAUCUACACCAGCAUUUCCUUGACGGAGAGAUCGAUCUUGGGGGUUUCUUGCAAAAGUACAAGAAGCUACGUACCACUUACCACAAAAAGACUCUCAUACAUCUUGCUGCUAAAACAUCAACUGUAUGAGCGCCAAUUAAAAUAUUAAGAAAGUAACUUGUAUUGGCAAGUACAUAUUUGAUUUUUGAUUCAUUAUUGUCAAUAGUUGAUAUUGGUAAAGGAUACUUGCCACCUAUUAUACAAAGUUGCGGUCGCUGGGAUACAGCAAUCUACUAUUAAUGAGAUUCUUCGUAUAUGUACAGCCUGUGAUUGUUCAUUCCAGUCACAUUCUCGAGUGGUUUCAACGCCAGAGAUGAGGAUUGUUGAGCUUGACACCAGACUUUCCACCACCGAAGUCAGUGGGGAUGUUGCAAACGUUAUCUGGAGAAGACACCAACCUCACGGAGCAUCGUUUUGUAUCCAAUUCCUUGCCAUAGACAUACUUUUUCACACUCAAGCCGUAUUGCCCUAACUCAUCUGUUGUGUCACUUGUAUAGUACACAACCCUGCUUCUCUUGUCCAUGCAUGUUAGGGACACCUUAACUCCUGUCAGUACAUGCGGUAAAUAUGAAUAUGAAUAUGCGAUGUAGGAAAAUAUUAGAAUGAUAUUUGCCACAAUACCUUUCA